UACAGGGGGUGCAAACGUUGCUCGGAAUCAUUGGGCGUAAAGCGCACGUAGGCGGUCUGUUAUGUCGGAUGUGAAAGCCCUUGGCUUAACUGAGGAAGUGCAUCCGAAACUGGUAGGCUAGAGUACUAAAGAGGGUCGCGGAAUUCCCGGUGUAGAGGUGAAAUUCGUAGAUAUCGGGAGGAACACCGGUGGCGAAGGCGGCGACCUGGGUAGAUACUGACGCUGAGGUGCGAAAGCGUGGGGAGCAAACAGG
RNAcentral lists this ribosomal RNA (253 nucleotides) under uncultured bacterium. Its description in RNAcentral is "partial 16S ribosomal RNA". It matches the Rfam family "Bacterial small subunit ribosomal RNA", at positions 524 to 776 of the family's 1533-position model. The record is from RNAcentral.